UGGCAAACUACCUGAAAGGGUAGGACGCAAAGCUACCGGUCUGUCGACACUACAUAUGAGCAUGCUAGUCAUACUGUAAAAGACUCUUAGGUAAUGUCUAUGAUAGCGGAGCUGCCA
RNAcentral lists this non-coding RNA (117 nucleotides) under Vibrio gallaecicus. RNAcentral's name for it is "Cyclic di-GMP-I riboswitch". It matches the Rfam family "c-di-GMP-I riboswitch aptamer", at positions 11 to 85 of the family's 87-position model. Rfam says of the family: GEMM was predicted in a large-scale screen for bacterial structured RNA regulatory elements. Genes associated with GEMM are involved in a diverse array of functions, including chemotaxis regulation, signal transduction, secretion and chitin. Lineage: Bacteria; Pseudomonadati; Pseudomonadota; Gammaproteobacteria; Vibrionales; Vibrionaceae. The record is from RNAcentral.